This 463-nucleotide ribosomal RNA is filed under the name uncultured bacterium. RNAcentral describes it as "SSU rRNA". It matches the Rfam family "Bacterial small subunit ribosomal RNA", at positions 26 to 518 of the family's 1533-position model. The record is from RNAcentral.
AGAACGAACGCUGGCGGCAUGCCUAACACAUGCAAGUCGAACGCUCACCGGGCUUCGGUUCGGUGGGAGUGGCGCACGGGUGAGUAGCGCGUGGGAACCUGCCCUGUUGUGGGGGAUAACCGAGGGAAACUUCGGCUAAUACCGCAUGCGCCCGGGGAAACCCGGGGAAAGAUUUAUCGCAGCAGGAGGGGCCCGCGUCGGAUUAGGUAGUUGGUAGGGUAACGGCCUACCAAGCCUUUGAUCCGUAGCUGGUCUGAGAGGAUGAUCAGCCACACUGGGACUGAGACACGGCCCAGACUCCUACGGGAGGCAGCAGUGGGGAAUAUUGGACAAUGGGCGCAAGCCUGAUCCAGCAAUGCCGCGUGAGUGAUGAAGGCCUUAGGGGUUGUAAAGCCCUUUCGGCGGGGAAGAUAAUGACGGUACCCGCAGAAGAAGCCCCGGCUAACUACGUGCCAGCAGCCGC